This 301-nucleotide ribosomal RNA is filed under the name uncultured bacterium. RNAcentral's name for it is "partial 16S ribosomal RNA". It matches the Rfam family "Bacterial small subunit ribosomal RNA", at positions 509 to 807 of the family's 1533-position model. The record is from RNAcentral.
CAGUAGCCACGGUAAUACGUAGGUGGCAAGCGUUGUCCGGAAUUAUUGGGCGUAAAGGGCUCGCAGGCGGUUUCUUAAGUCUGAUGUGAAAGCCCCCGGCUCAACCGGGGAGGGUCAUUGGAAACUGGGAAACUUGAGUGCAGAAGAGGAGAGUGGAAUUCCACGCGUAGCGGUGAAAUGCGUAGAGAUGUGGAGGAGCACCAGUGGCGAAGGCGACUCUCUGGUCUGUAACUGACGCUGAGGAGCGAAAGCGUGGGGAGCGAACAGGAUUAGAUACCCGUGUAGUCCCUGUCUCUUAUAC